ACAUUAAAAUAAGGUGAGCCCGGACCUAAAAAGCGGCGGUAUUUGGUAAUGAGUAUGCGCGAUAYGGUCUUGAGAGAUCCAAGAUGGCGGAUGAUAUGUGCUCUUCGUGCUUUAAGGGCACGAAGUAUUUUUGUUUAUCGUGCGCUAUGCCCUUCUGCUGUGAAUGUACAUUAUUCGAGAAUGAUGAAAACACACCCGGYUGGACAAUGGGAAAGUCGGUAGGGUACUGUCAGGUCUGUUUUGAGGAGAAAAGGAAAGACAAACCUGAAGUUGGAAGGAUAAUCUCCACAAUAGCUCAACAUCAUAGUAUACUUCAAUGAUAAUGGUUAUAAUUAGGUUAAAUUUAAGUUUAGAUUGGGAUACUUUUAGUUCAGGCAGGUCCAAAUGAGCUUUUAAAGUUGCCAAAUUAUAAUCUGCAUUAUCAAAUGAGUAUAAAUUGCAAAAAAAAAAUCACUUGCAUAACUGCCAGUUUUCUUCUUUUGUAUACCACUUACACAUGUGUAAAAGGUGCAAUGUUGAUACAUUAACAUUUCAGUGAAGUGAUACUUUAAACUACAA
Molecule: long non-coding RNA, 558 nt
Organism: Actinia tenebrosa (Australian red waratah sea anemone)
Lineage: Eukaryota; Metazoa; Cnidaria; Anthozoa; Actiniaria; Actiniidae
Source: RefSeq, a predicted model, not a curated record